Molecule: ribosomal RNA, 429 nt
Filed under: Gemmatimonadota bacterium
Lineage: Bacteria; Pseudomonadati; Gemmatimonadota
Description: Gemmatimonadetes bacterium partial 16S ribosomal RNA
Rfam family: Bacterial small subunit ribosomal RNA
Source: RNAcentral
UAGGGAAUCUUCGGCAAUGGACGAAAGUCUGACCGAGCAACGCCGCGUGAGUGAAGAAGGUUUUCGGAUCGUAAAACUCUGUUGUUAGAGAAGAACAAGGACGUUAGUAACUGAACGUCCCCUGACGGUAUCUAACCAGAAAGCCACGGCUAACUACGUGCCAGCAGCCGCGGUAAUACGUAGGUGGCAAGCGUUGUCCGGAUUUAUUGGGCGUAAAGCGAGCGCAGGCGGUUUCUUAAGUCUGAUGUGAAAGCCCCCGGCUCAACCGGGGAGGGUCAUUGGAAACUGGGAGACUUGAGUGCAGAAGAGGAGAGUGGAAUUCCAUGUGUAGCGGUGAAAUGAGUAGAUAUAUGGCGGAACACCAGUGGCGAAGGCGGCUCUCUGGUCUGUAACUGACGCUGAGGCUCGAAAGCGUGGGGAGCAAACAGG